CACCAACCUUCCCUCGGCCGAAGGUUGCACUCGUGAGUGAACAGUUCAAGCUCCUCUGUGACUUCUGCAGGGAGCUGUCGCUGUGUCUCUGCUUCGAUUUAUCAAAGCAGCUGUUAGGGGCGUCCCUCACCUCCCUGUUUGGGGGCUGCCUGUUCUGCAGGAGCGAGAACCUCCCCUCCUCAGUUUUAGGCUAGGUGUAGACCAGAUAAAGGUUGCUUGCAGAGCUUCAUAUUCUCCACUUGUCUUUUCUUGCUUGCCUCCUCCCCUGCCAACUCUGUAGACCAAUAUCAGGGUCUUGCUGUGUACCUAGACUGGCUUAGAACUUAAGAUCUUCCUUCCUCCUUCUCCCAAGUGCUGUGAUUACAGGCAUGUACCACCAUGCCUGGCUGACAUCUUUUGUUUAAGCAACUAGAUUUCUUUCACAUGGAACAUAAAGAGCCUGAACUGACAUAUUUUUUGAGCUUGGGACAAUUGAGAGUAUUAGUGGUGGUGAUGAGGGUCAGAAGAGGAGGGAAAGAUGGUAAGAGAGGAAGAAUGUGGACUCCUGGAGAGCCAAGAACUGGAGGCAGAAGACCCAGGUCCACCAGAGACCAUCUUCCAUGGCUGGAUUUGCACCCAACACCUUACCAUCCACAGCUACAUCACCAUCAAAAACCGUCUCCUCUGGCUUCAACCUAGCUUUAUGUCAUCCUUUCCUUUUUUCUCAUUUCACAAGAUAUAAACAAUGUAUAACUUUAAAAGUUUUCUCUAAAUUUGUCUCAGCCAUUAUGGAGGUUACUUUCACUCCUCCUACUCCAUGUCCAGCUCCUGUCUCCUCUCUUGGACUGGCCAUACAGAUUGUUAGGUCCCUGGCAUUCUUGGGGUGGGUGGAAGGACCCGAGGCUACACCUUAAAACCAGACCCCGAUUUAUGACUGCUUGUUUCUCCCUGCCUGAUUG
Non-coding RNA from Castor canadensis (American beaver), 938 nucleotides. NCBI's taxonomy places the organism in Eukaryota, Metazoa, Chordata, Mammalia, Rodentia, Castoridae. The record is from RefSeq and is a predicted model, not a curated record.